CAGGAAUAGUGACUCGGUGAGACACACAUGAUGUGCUAUAGUUGUUGUAAAAGCAGUCACAGGGAAGCAGAGACAGAACUAUAGGUGAAGGGACUGAGGAGUGGUUUGUAGUGUCACUCCUGAUGUGUGUGUUUUGGCCGUGGACGGCGGUGGAAUUCUCUGUAGGAGGAAAGGUCUCGAUGAACAAAUGAGCAGCAGGGUGUUAUUGCUGCCGUGACCUGAAAGUGUUUUUCAUUAAAACAUGUAAGGUAUUUAUGUUUUUCCUCAUCAGACUGGCCCUUAAUUCCCACUUUGUGUAAGUAUCUUCACCAAAAUUAUAUCUGUCUUAUAUUGUGUUGUAUUGUUUUUUUCUACAGGGAAUUGCUCAGUAAAAAUGCUAUUUGAUAUUAAACUCUGUCAGUCAUUAAUUGUCUGUAUAAUAGCACACUGAAUGGCAGUAAACAGUUGUUUAGACAGGUCUUAAGAUGAUGUGAGACAAAUUUGGUGAAGAUCAGACAACAUUUGGAGCAGGAGUAAUAAAACUGUCACUUAGAUGGAAGCAUUUCUGGCAUGUUAUUGUUACUUUUGACCAGUAGGUGAUGCUAUCAUGAAAUGUGUUGCAGGUCAUGGUCCUGACGAUGCCUACCAAGUUAAGUGACAGUGCGCGAAGUCUUUGCUGAGAUACAGCCUCACUUCCGGCUUCAAAUUAUGUCCAAACAAUGCCAGAUUUGGCAUACGCCAUCUUCAGAGUACGUCUCACAACAAUUAUCAAAAGAAUUGUGAAUAUUCAAACGGUUUGUCCGUAAGCAUGUUCGUCUCACACCUCCAGGGUCGGGGGUUUGAGUCCCACCGUGGCCCUGUGUGUGUGGAGUUUGCAUGUUCUCCCCGUGCUGCGGGGGUUUCCUCCGGGUACUCCGGUUUCCUCCCCCAGUCCAAAGACAUGCAUGGUAGGCUGAUUGGCGUGUCUAAAGUGUCCGUAGUGUAUGAAUGGGGGAAUGAGUGUGUAGGUGCCCUCUGAUGGACUGGCACCCUGUCCAGGGUGUACCCCGCCUUGUGCCCGAUGCUCCCUGGGAUAGACUCCAGGUUUCCCCGUGACCCUGAAAAGGAUAAGCGGUAUAGAAGAUGGAUGGAUGGUUUGUCCGUAACGGGCCAAUGACUCUGACAGGAAAACAGGAAGUGAGGAUGUAUCUCAGCAACAACUGUGCGCACUGACAUAAAACUUGGUAUUCAUCUUCAGGACCAUGACCUGUCUAAUACAGCAAUAAAACUAUAGCGUGACUAUGCAUCUUUAGUGCUUGGUCCCCAUAUAAAAAACGGUAUGAUUUGUAGUAAUAUAGCAGUGGAAAUGUGUGUGUGUGUGUGUGUGUGUGUGUGUGUGUGUGUGUGUGUGUGGGUUGUAAAUGCCAGUGUUUCCUGCUGAAGGAACCGACGGAUUCUCUGUGUGUUUGAUCUAAAUGGCAGCUCAGUUAAUUGGCCUGUUCAAUAAUUUAUCCUGUUCAUUGCCUCCUACUGAACGCCACAGGGUCUGAACCAUCUCUCUCUCUCUCUCUCUCACACACACACACACACACACACACACACACACACACACACACACACACACACACACACACACACACACACUCAAAACGCCCUCAAAUUGCCAUAUAUGAUAAACUUCCCUUUAAAAAGCUUAGGUGCCUGUUCCAUACUAUACUGUUAAAUACUGCUGCAUGAAGUAGAGCAAAAAAAAGGUUUAUUUGGCAUUUUACUAGUAGUUUCCUUAUCAUCCUCAUGCAUACAAUAUGUGCAUACACAUGGUUUAUUCUCAAUUCUAUGCAUAUGCACAGUUAAUAAAUGAAGUCCUCGGAGUCGAAGGUAUGGUUGGCAGCAGUGGAUUCUACUGAAGCAGAAAGGUUUGGAUUUACCAACAUGGCAUCCUUCCCAGGAGUUUGUGCCCAUUACUGGCCUACGAGUUUUCCUUAUUAACUGUGGAGAGCUUGGAGAAAAGGAUCAGUCAUCACCUUCACAGGUGGCUAGGCCUGACAUGAAGCCUGAUAAGCAUCAUUUUGUAGAGGAACAACAACCAUCUGAGGCUCUCCACGAGCAGCCUGAGUGAGGGAUUCAUGGUCACCCGUGCAAGAGAGGUGCUUCAGUACAGGGAGUCAAGUGACACAAAAGUGUUCCAGGCUGGCAACGAAGAGCGAACUGGGAGCAAGUGGAAGGCUCAGGACGCAGUGGACCAGGCUGAAUCACGACUAUGGCAGAGAGCUUUGGUGGGGACAGUGGCAUCUGGCCGAGCAGGGCUUAGUAGGUUCACGACAACCCACUACGACUGAGCCCAGGGCAAGGACACGCAAAAACUGGUCCAAGAGCAGGUGAGAGCCAGGGAUGAGGAGCUGUGUGCAAGCCAGAUGGUGGGGAUGUAUCAACAUGGUGCAUGGACAAAAUGGCAACAGACAUUAGAUCAGAAGGCAAAUGUGGGUGGACCUGGGCAAGCAGCUCUGAUUCCCAGAAAACAUUACAGAGACCACCGUGAGAUCAGACAUAGUGCUGUUCUCGGAAUCAUCAAAGCAAGGUGGUCAUGAUGAAGCUUAUGGUGCCCUAGAAGGAGAGGAUGGAUGAGGCCAAUGAAAGGAAGGGAUCCAAGUAUGCAGACUUGGUGGAAGAGUGCUGCAGAUGGGGUUGGAGAACAUGGUGUGAGCUAACAGAAGUGGACUGUAGAGGAUUGGCAGCUCAGUUCCUGUAUAAGGCCUACAGCCUCCUGGGCAUCACAUGCGUGCAAAAGAAGAAGGCCAUCUGAACCACCACAGGGGCAGCAGAGAAGACUCUAGAUGGCUGUGGAUUAAAAGGAAGGAUCCGUGGUCACAAGCUACUUAGAUAGAGUUAAUAAGAAAGAAGCGUAAACUCCUCCGUACUGAAGAUUUGGGAAAACCGACGGAAAGUUCCUCCACGCAGGAAUGUGAGAAACGCACCAACACAAACAUGCAGGAAAGCACAGAGCAAAGGUCAAAGGUCACUCACCGAGGCGGUGGGUCAGGAUAACCAGCGCUGAUCUGUGGGAUGGGGAUCGUCUCCGUGUAUGAGUCAAAGUCAAACGCGGGAGGAAAUUCAUCCACGCAGUCUGACCUCAACUCACCCGUCGAUCCUCCGAACGAAAAUCCGUCUGCAGCUGUGAGAACAAACUCGAAUAUUAUAAAACCUCAGUUAAUAAAAACCUGCACACA
Molecule: long non-coding RNA, 3185 nt
Organism: Ictalurus punctatus (channel catfish)
Lineage: Eukaryota; Metazoa; Chordata; Actinopteri; Siluriformes; Ictaluridae
Source: Ensembl